Molecule: ribosomal RNA, 292 nt
Filed under: uncultured bacterium
Lineage: Bacteria
Description: partial 16S ribosomal RNA
Rfam family: Bacterial small subunit ribosomal RNA
Source: RNAcentral
GUGUCAGCAGCCGCGGUAAUACAGAGGGUGCGAGCGUUAAUCGGAAUUACUGGGCGUAAAGCGCACGUAGGCGGCUUUGCAAGUCGGGUGUGAAAUCCCCGGGCUCAACCUGGGAACUGCAUUCGAGACUGCACUGCUGGAGUAUGGGAGAGGGAAGCGGAAUUUCCGGUGUAGCGGUGAAAUGCGUAGAUAUCGGAAGGAACAUCAGUGGCGAAAGCGGCUUCCUGGACCAAUACUGACGCUCAUGUGCGAAAGCGUGGGGAGCAAACAGGAUUAGAUACCCCAGUAGUCC